RNAcentral lists this long non-coding RNA (1120 nucleotides) under Pan troglodytes (chimpanzee). RNAcentral's name for it is "long non-coding RNA NONPTRT008758". Lineage: Eukaryota; Metazoa; Chordata; Mammalia; Primates; Hominidae. The record is from RNAcentral.
GACAAUUUUGAUCUCUUUAAAAAGGUAAUAUGUUUAAUUCAGGAAUUGCGAAAAGCCUUGCAGCAGCUACAAGAAGAAUUGCAGAAUAAGAGCCAACAGCUUCGUGCCUGGGAGGCUGAAAAAUACAAUGAGAUUCGAACCCAGGAACAAAACAUCCAGCACCUAAACCAUAGUCUGAGUCACAAGGAGCAGUUGCUUCAGGAAUUUCGGGAGCUCCUACGGUAUCGAGAUAACUCAGACAAAACCCUUGAAGCAAAUGAAACGUUGCUUGAGAAACUUCGCCAGCGAAUACAUGAUAAAGCUGUUGCUCUGGAGAGCACUCCCAGGAGAUGGAAAGCCUGAGGGAGGCUCUGCUGUCCUCUCGAUCCCACCUUCAAGAGCUGGAAGAGGAGCUGGAGCACCAGAAGGUGGAAAGGCAGCAGCUUUUGGAAGACUUGAGGGAGAAGCAGUAAGAGGUCUUGCGUUUAAGGGAGGAACGUCUUUCCCUCCAGGAAAACGACUCCAGCUUACAGCCUGGAUGUCUGUCACCAAAUCCCUUUGAGCAGUGACCUGAACCACCUGGUGGCAGAGGUAUGAGCUCUGAGAGGGCAGCUGGAGAAGAGCAUUCAGGGGAACAAUUGUCUGUGACUGCAGCUGCAACAGCAGCUGGAUAGCCUGCUGGCAAAGCCAGCCUCAGCCCCUCCUCUGUUAACCAGAACUUCCCAGCCAGCGCUGACCCUGGAAACAAGCAGCUGCUCCUCCAAGGUGCUAGGCAGCAAAGGCAUUCAUGAGCUUCGGAGCAGCACCAGUGCCCUGCACCAUGCCCUAGAGGAGUCGGCUUCCCUCCUCACCAUGUUCUGGAGAGCGGCCCUGCCAAGCACCCACAUCCCUGUGCUGCCUGGCAAAGUGGGAGAAUCAACAGAAACGGAACUUCUGGAACUGAGAACCAAAGUAUCCAAACAGGAGCGGCUCCUUCAGAGCACAGCUGAGCGUCUGAAGACCGCCAACCAACAGAAGGAGAGCAUGGAGCAGUUCAUCGUCAGCCAGCUAACCAGAACACAUGAUGUUUUAAAGAAGGCAAGGACUAACUUAGAGAGCAGCACUUACAGGAUUGCCUGUGUAAAGCCUUAUUCCUGUCCCA